UACGGAGGGUGCAAGCGUUAUCCGGAUUUACUGGGUUUAAAGGGUGUGUAGGCGGGCUUUUAAGUCUGGGGUGAAAUCCCGAAGCUCAACUUCGGAACUGCCUUGGAUACUAUUAGUCUUGAAUUAUGUUGAGGUUGGCGGAAUAUAACAUGUAGCGGUGAAAUGCAUAGAUAUGUUAUAGAACACCGAUUGCGAAGGCAGCUAACUAAACAUAUAUUGACGCUGAGGCACGAAAGCGUGGGGAUCAAACAGG
RNAcentral lists this ribosomal RNA (253 nucleotides) under uncultured bacterium. RNAcentral's name for it is "partial 16S ribosomal RNA". It matches the Rfam family "Bacterial small subunit ribosomal RNA", at positions 524 to 776 of the family's 1533-position model. The record is from RNAcentral.